AGCUUGAAUUGAUUUAAUAAUGGUCAAGCAUUGAUGUGGUGAAUUAUUUAUUGUACAUUGUGGAUAUGUGGUGAGUAAAUUACACUAGUAAAAGUACAGAGAUUGUGCUUGGAGAUUGAGAUUAGGAGUACAUCGACUCCUAGAACUGUGAGUAAACUUAUUAUCGUCUUAAUUAUCUAGAGUAGUUUUAUAUAAUUGUGUGAUUUUAUGAAAAAUGGGUUUAAAUGGUAAAUUGCAAUGUUUUAGGAGAAAUUGUGAUUUUAUAAAAUGAUUUUAUAAAUUUUCUGAAAAAUUGAAUACUGGUUUUGAAAUUAAAGUAAUUGGAGACUGCCUGCUUGUGUUAUAAAUUGUGUUUUAAAUUAUAUGGCUUAUAGCAAUAUGUGAGCAUGAGUGGCAAAGUUGGUAUUUGUAUAAAAAAUUAUAUAUACUAUGUAUUCAGCCUUGAGAGGCUAAAUUGCAAUAAAUCGCCAUGUCAUGUGGAUAAAUAUUUUAUAAAUUAGGUGGUAGAUAAAAUAAUCCAUAGUCACUAUAGUGGUGGGGGUUCCCGUCGACUGCCUAUGAGGGGGACACGGUAACUCAAUUAUAUAUUUACCUCCAAUGGGAGAUGUUGGAUGAAGUAUCUCCUGAGGUAAAGAUUUGAGUGCACUUCACGUGGACCACCGCGUGAGAGUGAGACUCAGCUAAUGCUAAGGAACGGUUGUGUGUCAGAUGCGAAAACAUAUUUAUGGGUAUGGGACAUUUAACAGCCUUGGCGGUCUUAGUGGGAUACCUUGACGAAGGUACUCGCAAGAAUGAUUUUGGUAGGAGCCAAGUUUUGUAAGAUAUAUAAGCCAUGUUGAUUAAUUGAGUAAACUGAAUAUUCAUGUUAUGAAACAUAUAUUGGAAAAGAAUAUUUUAAUUUAUCUCCAUUUACUCGCCUUUAGAUGGUUUAGAUGGUGUCUGUUUACUCAUUGAGAUUUUAUAAUCUCACCACCCUCAUUUUCUCACAUUUCAGGCUCAGGGAAUUCCAUAGUUAGUUGACUUUGACAAGGACCUUCAUUUGGACU
This 1046-nucleotide long non-coding RNA is filed under the name Theobroma cacao (cacao). RNAcentral's name for it is "long non-coding RNA (TCAC_LNC006468)". The record is from RNAcentral. Lineage: Eukaryota; Viridiplantae; Streptophyta; Magnoliopsida; Malvales; Malvaceae.